AGAAAUGAAGACUUUCUCAGAGAAGGAAAAAGCAUAAAAUACAUUGACAGAAGACCCUACUCUAAAAGAACUGUUAAAUGAAGUUCUUUAAACAGAAGGAGAUACACUUAGAAAGAGAUCUGGAAAUGGAAUAAAGACAAAAGCUCAUCUACCUCGCCUGCUUCAUUAUUUAAGAUCCCAAAAGCAUGUGAUCUAUCCUGGAGAAUGUUCCAUGUGCACUUGAGAAGAAUGUGUAUUCCGCUGCUUUUGGAUAGUAUGCUCUAUAGCAGGGCUCCCCAACUGGUCCGUGGCCUGUUAGGAACCAGGCCGUGUGGCAGGAGGUGAGCAGCAGGCGAGCGAGCGAAGCUUCAUCUGUAUUUACAGCCACUCCCCAUCGCUCGCAUUACCACCUGAACUCCGCCUCCUGUCAGCAUUAUGCCUCUACACAAGCCAACUCAAAGCAUGAACUUCUCUAGGGACCCUUUGGACAGACUGACUCCCAUUACUGAAAUCCCUGUCAUGCCAACAUUUCAGUUUUGGAGUUACAGCUUAGAAGCUUAACAACUUUUCUAUUUAAACGACAUGGGUUUAAUUACAAUUCAUCUACCUGGAAUUAGGAGAGAAAAGAAGAACUUCUAAAGCACAAAUUGGUGAAUGAACUACAUAAGAAGUUCAAGGAUUUAACAGCUGUUAAAUGCAGUCUAAUAAUGAGAUUACAGAGAAUGAGAAUGAAGGAAAAUUUAUUAAGAAAAUAAGUAUCAUGCAUAACUAUUAAGGUUUGGCAUGUCACAGAGCAAAAUCUACUCUUAAGCUGAGCUGAUAUGCAGAUGCCCUAAACAGCUGAACUGACUUGACUUGUCAAAUAUUGAAAUCCUUCCACAAUGGUUGGUAAACAGGAGAGGAAUCACUCCCAGUUAAAAGACCAAAAGCAUUCCCCUGAAAGAACAAAGAGUGAAACAGACCUCUUCAUUCUAAUAGACACUGAUUUCAAAAAGGAGAUAAUGAAAAUACUGGAGGAGUAAGAAAAACUAUCGACAGAAAUGCAGAGUACUGUAAAAGGGAACUAGAAACUAUAAAGAGGAACCACGAAAAAUUAGAAAACUCAUCUGCAGAGAUGAAAGCUAAGGGCAAUGAAUAGCAGAAUGAAUAAUGCAGAAGAAUGAAUAAGUGACCUGGAACACAGAAUAAUGGAAAUCACCCAACAAGGACAGCAGACAGAAAGCCAAAUGAAAAAAAAUGAAAGCAAUGUGAGAGACCUAUGGGAUAAUAUAAACCAUGCCAAUCUACACAUAAUAGGGAUUCUAGAAGGGGAAGAAAGAGAAAAGGGGAUCAAAAAUGUAUUUGAAAAAAUUAUGUCUGAAAAAUUCCCAAACCUAAAGAAGGAAACACAUCCAGGUACAGGAAGCACAGAGGGUCCCAAACAAUAUAAACCGAAACAGACCUACACCAAGACAUAUUACAAUAAAAAUAGCAAAAGUUAAAAGAGAGAAUUCUAAAGGCAGCAAGAGGAAAACAAAGAGUUCAUUACAAGGAAACCCCCAUAAGGCUAUCAGGUGAUUUCUCUACAGAAACGCUGCAGGCCAGAAGGGAGUGGCAAGAUAUAUUCAAAGUCCUGAAAGGGAAAAAUAUGCAACCUAGGAUACGCUACCUAGCAAGAUUAUCAUUUAGAAUAAAAAGAGAGAUAAAUAAUUUCUCAGACACACAAAAACUAAAAUACUAAAUCUAUCCUAAAGGAAAUAUUGAAAGGUCUUCUCUAAAUAGAAAAGAAGUAAGAAUCUAUAGGAAAGAAAAAAAAAUCACAAUUGGAAAGUAAAUUACUUAAAUAAGCCAGGACACAGACUAAAGAAAAAAAUCCAAAAAUCUGUGUGAAAAUGAUGGUAACCACAAUGAACAGCAAAAGGAUGGACAAGAUGUAGAACAGGACAACAAAAUCAUAAAAUGUGGGGGAGAAGAGUAAAAAAGUGUAGAUUCUUUUUCUUUCCUAGAAUGAAUGUGUUUCAGCCUAUAUGACUACCAGUCUAAGGCAAGUAGAUAUAGGAAGGGGUUAACAUUCUUGAAAAAUAGGGUAACCACAAGUCAAAAACAUAGAGUCACAGAAACCAAAAAGAAGAGAACAUAAGUAUAAUACCAAAGAAAAUCAUGAAACCACAAAAGGAAAAAUAAGGGACAAAGAAAAAAUAUAAAAUCAACAGGAAAACAAGGUUUAAAAUGGCAAUAAAUACGUAUCUAUCAGUAAUUACCUUAACUGUCAAUGGACUAAAUCCUCCAAUCAAAAGACACAGAGUGGCAGAUUGGAAAAAAAACCAAGAGCCUACAAUAUGCUGCCUACAAGAGACCCACUUUAGGGCAAAGGACACAUAGAGAUUGAAAGUGAGGGGAUGGAAAAAGGUAUUUCAUGCAAAAGGAAAUGACAAGAAAGUGGGGUUGCAAUACUCAUAUCAGACAAAAUAGACUUUAAGACAAAAGCCGUAAAGAAAGAUAAAGGAGGAUACUAUACAAUGAAAAAAGGAUCAAUACAAGAGGGUUUUACAUCAACAUAUAUGCACCUAAUAUAGAACACCCAUGUACGUAAAACAAAUACUAACAGAAAUACAGGGAGAGGGACUUCCCUGAUGGUGCAGUGGUUAAGAAUCCACCUGCCAAUGCAGGGGACAUGGGUUUGAGCCCUGGUCCAGGAAGAUCCCACAUGCUGUGGAGCAACUAAGCCCAUGCACCACAACUACUGAGCCUGCAUGCCUAGAGCCCAUGCUCCACAACGAGAAGCCACUGCAAUGAGAAAUGAGAAGCCCACGCACAGCAACAAAGAGUAGCCCGUUCCUACUCACUGCAACUAGAGAAAGCCCGUGUGCAGCAACGAAGACACAAUGAAGCUAAUAAGUAAAUAAAUAAAUAAAUAAAUUUAUAAAAAAGAAAAAGAAAUAAAGGCAGAAAUUGACAAGACUACAAUAAUAAUAGGAGAUUUUAACACCCCGCUCACAUCAAUGGACAGAUCUUCCAGACAGAGAAUCAAUAAGACAACAGAGAUACUAAAUGAUACAGCAGAACAGUUGGACUUAAUUGAUAUUGUCAGUACGUUACAUCCAAAAAAACCAGAAUACACAUUCUUUUCAAGUGCACAUGGAAUUCUCUAGAACUGACCACAUACCAGGGCAUAAAACAAGCCUCAACAAAUUUAAGAGUAUAGCAAUUAUCUCAAGCAUCUUUUCUGACCACAACGGCAUGAAACUAGAAAUUAACCACAGAAAAUAAAUGAGAAAAAAAUGAUUACAUGGAGACUAAACAACAUGGUACUAAAAAUCCAGUGGGUCAAUGAGGAAAUCAAAGAGGAGAUUUAAAAAUACCUUGAGACAAAUGACAAUGAAAACACAACCAUACAAAAUCUACAGAAUGCAACAAAAGCAGUUCUUAGAAGUUCAUAGCAGUACAGGCUUUCCUCAAAAAACAAGAAAAAUCUCAAACAACCUAACCUACCACAAAGAAUUAGAAAAAGAAGAACAAACAAAACCUAAAGUCAGCAGAAGGAAUGAAAUAAUAAAGAUCAGAGAGGAAAUAAAUAAAAGACAUUUAAAAAAAUAGAAAAAAUCAAUAAAACUAAGAGCUGGUGCUCUGAAAGGAUAAACAACAUUGACAAACCUCUUGCCAAGCUCUUCAAGGAGAAAGAGAGAACUUAUUUUAUUAAACAAAAUAAGAAGUGAAAAAGGAAACAUAACAGCUGACACCAUAGAAAUACAAAAAACCAUAAGGGAAUACUAUGAACAAUUAGAAAAGCCAAAACCCACAUGAUCUUCUGAAUAGAUGCAGAAAAGGCAUUGACAAAUUCAACAUCCACUCAUGAUAAAAACUCUUACCAAAAUGGGUGCAGAGGGAACAUACCUCAAGAUAAAAAAAGCUAUUUAUGACAAAUCCACAGCCAAUAUAAUACUCAACAGUGAAAAGCUGAAAGCAUUCCUGCUAAAAUCUGGAACAAGACAAGGAUGCCCACUCUCACCUCUUCUAUUCAACACAGUAUUGGAAGUCCUAGCCGCAGCAAUCAGAUAAGAAAAAGAGAUAAAAGAUAUCCAGAUUAGGGCUUCACUGGUGGCACAGUGGUUAAGAAUCCGCCUGCCAACGCAGGGGACAUGGGUUCGAGCCCUGGUCCGGGAAGAUCCCACAUGCCGUAGAGCAGCUAAGCCUGUGCGCCACAACUACUGAGCCUGCACUCUAGAGCCUGCCAGCCAUGACUACUGAGCCUGCGUGCUACAAAUACUGAAGCCCGCACACCUAGAGCCUGUGCUCCACAACAAGAGAAGGCCCCACAAUGAGAAGCCCGCGCACCACAACGAAGCCACCGCUCGCCGCAACUAGAGAAAGCCCGCGCGCAGCAACGAAGACCCAGUGCAGCCAAAAAUAAAAAUAAAUUUAAAAAAUUAAAAAAAAAAAGAUAUCCAGAUUGGUAGGGAAGAGGUAAAAUUGUCAUUAUAUGCAGAUGAUAUGAUACUACAUAUAGAAAACCCUAAACGGUCCACACAUAAACUACUAGAACAGAUAAGCGAAUUCGGCAAGGUAGCAGGAUACAACAGUAACAUACAGAAAUCGGUUGCAUUUCUUUACACCAACAGUGAAAUAUGAGAAAGGGAAUGUAAAAAAAAAAUCUUUUAAAACUGCAACCCAAAACAUAAAUUACUUUGGAAUAAACCUCACCAAGCAGAUGAAAGACUUACACACUGAGAACUAUAAAACACUGAUAAAGGAAACUGAGAUGAUUCAAAGAAAUGGAAAGAUAUCCCAUGCUUUUGGAUUGGAAGAAUUAAUGUUGUUAAAAUGGUCAUACUACCCAAAGCAAUCUACAGAUUUAAUGUGAUCCCUAUCAAAUUACCCAUGAUAUUUUUCACAGAACUAGAAAAAAUAACCCUAAAAUUCAUGUGGAUCCAUAAAAGACCCAGAAUUGCCACAGCAAUCCUGAAGAAAAAGAACAAAGUAGAAGGCAUAACCCUUCCAGAGUUCAGACAAUAUUAGAACGCUAGAGUAAUCAAAACAGUGUGGUACUGGCACUAAAACAGACAUACGGAUGAAUGGAACGGAAGAGAGCCCAGAAAUAAACCCACACACCUAUGGUCAAUUAAUCUUUGUCAGAGGAGGCAAGAAUAUACAAUGGGGAAAAGACAUUCUCUUCAACAAGUGGUGUUGGGAAAUCUGGACAGCUGCAUGUAAAUCAAUGAAGUUAGAACACACCCUCCCAUCACACACAAAAAUAAACUCAAAAUGGCUUAAAGACUUAAACAUAAGACAUGACACCAUAAAACUCUUAGAAGAGAACACAGGCAAAACAAUCUCUGACAUAAAUUGUACCAAUGUUUUCUUAGGUCAGUGUCCCAUGGCAAUAGAAGUAAAAACAAAAAUAAACAAAUGGGAUCUAAUCAAACCUACAUGCUUUUACACAGCAAAGGAAACCAUAAACAAAAUGGAAACACAACCUACAGAAUGGGAGAAAAUAUUUGCAAAUGAUGUGACCAACAAGGGCUUGAUUUCCAAAUUAUACAAACAGCUCAUACAACCCAAAAAAACAAACAACCCAACAGAAAAAUGGGCAGAAGACCUAGACACUUCUCCAAAGAAGAAAUACAGAUGGCUAAUAGGCACAUGAAAAGAUGCUUAACAUCGCUAAUUAUUAGAGAAAUGCAAAUCAAAACUACAAUGAGGUAUCACCUCACACCAGUCAGAAUGGCCAUCAUUAAAAUGUCUACAAAACAAAUGCUGGAGAGGGUGUGGAGAAAAGGGAACCCUCCUACACUGUUGGUGGGAAUGUAAGUUGGUGCAGCCACUAUGGAGAACAGUAUGGAGGUUCCUCAGAAAACUAAAAAUAGAAUUACCAUAUGAUCCAGCAGUCCCACUACUGGGCAUACAUCUGGACAAAACUAUUAUUCAAAAAGAUACAUGCACCCCUAUGUUCAUAGCAGCAGUAUUCACAAUAGCCAAGACAUGGAAACAACCUAAAUGUCCAUCGACAGAUGAAUGGAUAAAGAUGUGGUACAUAUAUACACUGAAAUACUACUCAGCCAUAAAAAAGAAUGAAAUAAUGCCAUUUGCAGCAACAUGGAUGCAAGUAGAGAUUAUCAUACUAAGUAACUCAGAAAAAGACAAAUACCAUAUGAUAUCACUUAUAUGUGGAAUCUAAAAUAUGACACAAAUGAACCUACCUAUGAAACAGAAACAGAAUCACAGACAUAGAGAACAGACU
This is a long non-coding RNA of Balaenoptera acutorostrata (minke whale), 6196 nucleotides long. RefSeq lists it as uncharacterized. The record is from RefSeq and is a predicted model, not a curated record. The transcript has 7 exons. NCBI's taxonomy places the organism in Eukaryota, Metazoa, Chordata, Mammalia, Artiodactyla, Balaenopteridae.